RNAcentral lists this non-coding RNA (925 nucleotides) under Madascincus igneocaudatus (redtail skink). RNAcentral's name for it is "partial 12S ribosomal RNA". It matches the Rfam family "Bacterial small subunit ribosomal RNA". Lineage: Eukaryota; Metazoa; Chordata; Lepidosauria; Squamata; Scincidae. The record is from RNAcentral.
UUCCAAAACCACAAAGUUUUGGUCCUAAACUUACUGUUGCUUUUUACCAAAAUUACACAUGCAAGCCUCCACGCCCCAGUGAGAAUGCCCAUCACCCCCUAACAGAUAAUUGGAGCAGGUAUCAGGCCCAACCCAAAUAGYYGAAAACACCUUGCUAUGCCACACCCCCACGGGAUGUCAGCAGUGAUUAAUAUUAAAAAUGAGCGAAAGCUCGACUUAGUUAUGGUUAAACAAAGCCGGUAAAUUUCGUGCCAGCCACCGCGGUUAUACGAAAGGCUUAAAACAACAGACUUCGGCGUAAAGCGUGAACAGAGCAAUAUGCCUUAAAUUUAAAGAAAAAUUGCUACUCGGGCCGUAAAACGCUGAAACUAACAAGAACUACAACAUCUUUAAACACAGAGCAUGUUUGACUCACGAAAGCUAAGAAACAAACUGGGAUUAGAUACCCCACUAUGCUUAGCCCUUAACAUAGACAGCACAAAUACAAUGCUGCCCGCCAGAGAACUACAAGCGAAAAGCUAGAAACUCCAAGGACUUGGCGGUGCUCCAUACCACCCUAGAGGAGCCUGUCCUAUAAUCGAUACUCCACGUUUAACCCUACCACCUCUUGCCUUCAGCCUAUAUACCGCCGUCGUCAACUUACCUUAUGAGAGAAAAAAAGUAGGUAAAAUAGUUAUCAACUAAUACGUCAGGUCAAGGUGUAGCACAUGAGGUGGAAGAGAUGGGCUACAUUUUCUAUAUCAGAACACACGAAUAGUCAGGUGAAAUCCUGACUAAAAGGCGGAUUUAGCAGUAAGAUAACUAAGAAAACCUAUCUUAAACUCUGCUCUGGAGCGCGCACACACCGCCCGUCACCCUCAUCAACCAAUCAUCAACUUAUCAUAUAAAACCUUCGACUACACAGAUGAGGCAAGUCGUAACACGG